RNAcentral lists this ribosomal RNA (342 nucleotides) under uncultured eukaryote. Its description in RNAcentral is "partial 18S ribosomal RNA". It matches the Rfam family "Eukaryotic small subunit ribosomal RNA", at positions 1470 to 1796 of the family's 1831-position model. The record is from RNAcentral.
CCCUUCGAUGUUCUGGGCCGCACGCGCGCUACACUGAUCCAGUCAACAAGUUUACAACCUUAUCCGAAAGGAUUGGGUAAUCUUUUGAAACUGGAUCGUGAUAGGGAUAGAUGAUUGCAAUUAUUUGUCUUGAACGAGGAAUGCCUAGUAGGGUUGAUUCAACAGAUUGACCCGAUUACGUCCCUGCCCUUUGUACACACCGCCCGUCGCUCCUACCGAUUGGAUGUUCCGGUGAGGAUUCAGGACUCGGGGGUUUUUUCCUGUCUUGGGGUUCUGCUCCUUGACAGAGCUCUGGGAAAUUUAUUCAAAUCUUAACAUUUAGAGGAAGGAGAAGUCGUAACA